UUAAUUGAAGCCAAAAAGAGGCAUAUUAUUGUUAAUAAUAUAAUUGAAAAAAAUAUUCCAAUUAAA
RNAcentral lists this transfer RNA (66 nucleotides) under Hemathlophorus sp. RNAcentral's name for it is "tRNA-Asn". The record is from RNAcentral. Lineage: Eukaryota; Metazoa; Arthropoda; Insecta; Hymenoptera; Tenthredinidae.